This is a long non-coding RNA of Pan troglodytes (chimpanzee), 5673 nucleotides long. RefSeq lists it as uncharacterized. The record is from RefSeq and is a predicted model, not a curated record. Lineage: Eukaryota; Metazoa; Chordata; Mammalia; Primates; Hominidae. The transcript is spliced from 3 exons.
GGCGGGGCCUGGAGAUGGCGCUCAAACCUGCAGGCUGCGGGCGGUGCAGGAGGGAUCCGGAAGAGACGAGGCAGGAAGAAACUCCUGGUCCUUUCGCUUUUAAGGAACGUGGCACCUAGACAGGUGUUCCAGCCUCCGGUGAACCAGUCUUCCUAGUGAGAGCACGAGAAGCCCGUUGUCCUUCAUUCCUCAGCUAUGGAUUUCCCUGAAAGUUGAGAACUGACCAUAUUCUCGAUGCCUCCUCCGACCUGUGAUUUCAUGAUUCACAUCGCUUCCCCAGAACCUGCUUAACAGACGGGAUUCCUGAGAAUGGAGCAGAGUUUGAAUUCAGAGUCCUGGCUUUGCCAUAUCAGCAGUUAUAAUUGUCCUUCUGUUGUUUGAUGACCUCCCUGCCCUGCUUCAAAAGGAAGAGAAAUCAAAGAGUUGACGACCCUGAGCGCAAGGCCUGGGACGUUCUUCCCCAAACUCGCUUUAAUAUCACCUUCUCAAAAGAACUCUUCCCUGAACACCUUGUCUCAAGAUGUUCUCUAGUUUGUCUUCUUGUUCUGUCAUUUAUUUGUCUGUUCAUUGUUUGUGUGUUUUUUGAGGCGGAGUCUCGCUCUGUCGCCUAGGCUGGAGUGCCGUGGCACGAUCUCGGCUCUCUGCAACCUCUGCCUCCUGGGUACAAAGCGAUUCUUGUACCUCAGCCUCCCAAGUAGCUGGGAUUACAGGCGUGUACCACCAUGCCCGGCUAAUUUUUGUAUUUUCAGUGGAUACGGGGUUUCAUCAUGUUGGCCAAGCUGGGCUCUAUCUCCUGACCUCAGGGGAUCUGCAUUUGAGGAUAAACCCUGUCUUGGCUCCUCCCUGACGGGGGUGAGAAGUAGCCCUCCUGGAAUUGCCUCAAAGCCCCCGGUUAUCACCAGUGUUCUCGGUUGCAAAUUACGAAACAUAAAUAAACUCAGACUAACAGAUGCAGCAAAGGAAUUUAUCAGGAAGGAAUGGGGAGCUCCCAGAACUGAUGGGAAGGCUGGAGAACCAGGCUCAGAAAAUGCACUGAAGUGGUGAGCGCAGAGGCUUGAAUGUUGCCAGGACUCUCCUCCCAGUCCUUUAUCUCUUCUCUCUGUAUGCGAGCUAUUCUCCUCAAGGCUAGGCACGUGGCUGCAGCAGCGCUCACCACUCACAACUCUCACCCGUUCCACCGGAGAGAGACUGAGGAUUUCUGCUUCUGGUCUGAAGGACAAAGUUUUAGGGAAAAACUUUGAUUGGUCCAACAUAGAUGGAGAAAUGACAACUGGAGAGGGGAGUUCUACUGGAGAGGGGAGUUCACACAUCAUAUACACUGAAAGCUGCCCAUCAAAAGAGUUGCAGAACCAGGACUACAGCCCUUGCAUCUUGACUGCCAGUACGAUGCAGGUUAAACUCUGUGUUUGAUGCUUGUUGAUGUGGACGUCUGGAACUUGAAUAGAAGACAUUUCUUAUUUCAGAUGCAUCCAUUAGCAGGUCUUAGCCAGGAGCCAGGCCCUUGCAAGUAUAUAUUGCAAGUAAUUGAUGACAUUGGAGCCAGAAAUCGAAUGAACCGGGCCCAGUUCAAUCCACUUACUGGACAAGCUCCUCAAGCACUCUAAGCCCCAAUUUCCUCCUCUGUAAAGUGGGCAUAAAUUACAUUUACCUUGAGGGUUGCUGUGAAGGCUAGAAAUAAUAUAUGUAAUGUCCCCUGAUACACAGAAGGUGCUCAAGAAAUAGUAAGCUCUUCUAAUGAUUGUUAUUGAUGACAAAGAGGAUGAAAAAACAAAUGCUCUGACUUCUCAAAGGAGAGAGAAUCAUCCCUGAGGAUUGUGUCUUGGAGAACAUAAAUCCAUAUUUUCUCUUUCCUGAACAAAUUCCCUCUGGAAGGGCACAAAGGGAACAAAUUCCCUUGUUAGGAAGGAAGGAAGGGAGGAAGGGAAGGAAGGAUGGAAAACAAGAGCAAGGAAGGGUUGGCAGGUUGUGACUGUCUACCUCUCCCUGAGGCUUGCUCUGCUACACCCACCCCAAACUCUGGUCCAUCCCAUUUCCAUGCUGAGAUCAGGCCACACACAGAAGUGUUGGUGUCAGACCACCAGCUUUGAGCCAUCCCUGGGAAUCCCCAGGAUACUGGAUAGCAGAUUUGGAGCAUACAGUUCCCACCCACUGUGACUGAUGGCUAGGGAGCUCAAGGUUAUGGAGGAAGCUCUCAUAAGUCAAUGCAAGGUUGUGUAUCUCCCGUUCCUCACUGGCUUAGCCCUCAGAGCCCUUGUCCCUGCUUUCUGCCUUGCGACUAGGUCUUCACAUUAGUGUUUUAUCAAACAAAAGACAGGCUGACAUCUUUAAAGUAUGGUCUUUAUUAAGUAGGGAGCAAAUCAUUCCACACCUUCCCUCCCAAUACCUCCCUCACCAGUGACUUCAAGCCUUCAAACAAGAGGGGACACCUCUCCCCACUUCCCAGUGACCUUUCUCCGCCCCUCAUUGCAUCCAUGAGUGACACCACUGAGAUCAGAUGCAGUGAUGUUAAUUGAAAUGGACAUUAAGGGCUCACUUGCUCAAGCAGAAGCACAUUAGAAGAAAUAUAAACGAGGAAGACAUUGGGUCAGUAACAUUUGUUCUAAUGAGAAUAACCAUCUCUAGAGCAUCUUGUUCAAAAAGGAUUGAGUGCCCAGGAAACAACAGAUACAUGAGGCCUUCCACCCCCACCCCACCCCCAAUACUCAGAAGUGUCACACAUACUUGCAGAGACUUUUCAAUCAUCCUUGCUUCAAUCAUGAUUCCCCAGGUGCAUUUCUGUGGGUGUCACCCAGCACAUUCCCCCUCGUGUUCUUCAUCUGUUUCUCCAAAUCUACUUCUCCAUAUUAUUUUAAGAGUUUGUGACCAGAUGUUUGUAACAUGUGGUCCUAGAUGUUCUUAUUUGCUAUACCUCAGGAAUUCUUGACUAGGUGACCCAAGAGCUUCUCAACUUUGGAUCCAAUAAGGGGAACCUAAGGCUAAAAGAAUCCCAUCUGGAGUAGAGAGGAAGAUACCCAAUUACCCAAUUUUUUUGUUUGUUUUUGUUUGUUUUCUGAGACAGAGUCUCUCUCUGUCACCCAAGCUGGAGUGCUGUGGUGCGGUCAUAGCUCACUGCAGCAUUGAACUCCUGAGCUAAGCAGUCCUUCUGCCUCAGCCUUCCGAGUAGCUGGGACUAUAGGCAUGUACCACCAUGCCCAGCUAAUUUUUAAAAAAAGUUUUUGUAAAGACAGGGUCUCCUUAUGUUGCAAAGGCGGGUCUUGAACUCCUGGGCUCAAGAGGUCUUCCCACCUCAGCCUCCCAAAGUGCUGGGAUUACAGGCAUGAGCCACCACAUCUAGCCCAAGUUUCUGCAUAAAGAACAUGAACGUUUUCCUUAGAUCAUGCUUUACAUGGCACAUCAUGUCUUUAUGGUUAUUAGUGGGCAGUUGCAAGGUAUAGAUACCAUUUUUGUCUAUGCUAUAUCAUUUCCCAAUAUUCUUAACAGCAUCUGACUUAAAAAAAAUUUUUUUUGAGACAGGGUCUUCCUCUGUCACCCAGUAUGGAGUGCAGUGCUGCAGUCAUGGCUCACUGCAGCCUCAACUUCCCAGGCUCAGGUGAUCCUCCCACCUCAGCCUCCAGAGUAGCUGGGACCACAGGUCGUGCCACCAUGCCCAGCUAAUUUUUGUAUUUUUGUGUAGAGACAGGUUUUCGCCAUGUUCUUCAGGCUGGUCCCUAACUCCUAAGCUCGAGCAAUCUGCCCGUCCCAGACUCCCUGUAAGUGCUUGGAUUACAGACAUGAGCCAUUGUGCCUGGCCAGCAUCUGAUUUUUCUGUGAGCCUCUACUCCUAUUCUUGGUCCAGGCCAUAAAGAGUAUGGAAACUAAAGUCUGACUGCCUAGGUUUGAAUAUUGGCUCUGCCAUUGACCAGCUAUGUGAACCUGGAAAAAUUCCUAACCUCUCUGUGCCUCAUAUAAGAAAUGUGGAGAAUAGUAUCUACCUCAUGGAGUUUUUGGGUUAUAUGAGUUAAUUCAGAUAAAAUGUUUAAAAGAGUGACUGGCACAUAGUAAACACCCCCCAAAUGUCAUCUAGUAUUAAUAUUAUUACUAUUAGUUCAGAAGGGGCUGACUUCAUUCCCCCUGGCCCUGGUGAUGGCACCUGACCCAGGCCUGGCCAAUCAGGACAUUCUGUCCCCCUGUCCACCAUGGAAUCCUUCUCCAUGGUCAGUCAUACCAGUCAUUUGGAUUGGCACUGUGGGCUGUGAUCUAAUGUGAACUCUGAAAGCCUGGUCAUGCUGGGCCAAAGCUGCAAAGUAAAGGUAAACAUCAAAUCUGGGCUGGUUCAUCAGGAGAGAACAUUCUGAGUAGGGAGACCUGGGGACUAUCCAGUUUCACCUUGCAGGUGAAGGCCCACUCUCCCUACUCUAGCCGUUAGUUAGACCCCAUGAAAAUAAUUGCAGUAGACUGUUAAUUUGAUGGCUUCCAGUGAACCAUGCUUCUGGCAUUCAUACUCUUAUGUAGUCCCCUCCCACAUUGACUCUGGACUUUGCCAUAUUGAUGCAGGGCAAGUAAGCCCCAGAAUUGGGGCUUAGCCCGAGAAGGUUCUUCACUUCAUCCAGGAAAGUAUUCAAGGGCAAACAGGUGGUGGUAGAUGCCAACUUUUUUUUUUUUUUUUUUUUUUUUUGAGACGGAGUCUUACUCUGUCAUCAGGCUGGAGUGCAGUGGCACGAUCUCUGCUCACUGCAACCUCCGACUCCCUGGUUCAAAUGAUUCUGCCUCAGCCUCCCGAGUAGCUGGGAUUACAGGCAGGCACCACCAUGCCCAGCUAAUUUUUGAAUUUUAGUAGAGAUGGGGUUUCCCCACGUUGGUCAGGAUGGUCUCGAUCUCCUGACUUCAUGAUUCACCCACCUCAGACUCCCAAAGUGCUGGGAUUACAGGUGUGAGCCACUGUGCCCAGCCUAGAUGGCAACUUUUAUUGGAGCAGCAGUGUCCAACAGCAGCAGAGGUACUCCUCCUUGUGGAACAGGACUACCCCCUAGGCAGCAUGCCCAGAGUAGCAGCUCAGGGGUAAUUCUGUCGUCAUAUUUAUACCCACUUUUAAUUACAUGCAAAUUAAGGGGCAGGUUAUUCAGAAUUUUCUGGACAAAGGAUGGUACUUCCAGGCCAUUGCCAUGGAAAGGGGUGGUAACUUUUAGGUGUUGCCAUCACCGUGGUAAACUGACGUGGUGUUGCUGGGUAUGUCUCAUGGAGAGGUGCUUUCACUGCUUCCCUGUUCACCUAGUCUUCAGUCUGGUCCAGAGUUUCAGCCCCACCUCUGGAGUUGAGUCCUGCCUUCUCUCUCAAUGUGACAAAUGUUGGCCAGUGGUAUAUCGCAGCUGUGAUGCAAGCAGAGGCUUGGUAAAUGCCUGCAUACUGGGGUUUGUCCUCUUGGAAUGCUCAUUUGUGGGAGCCCUGAACAACUAUGUAAGAAGUCUGGCUACCCUGCUGGAGAGAACACAUGGUGGGAAGAGACUAAAAUUAUGUGAAGAGAGUCAGGCCAGCCAUCCCAGCUUCUCUGCUGAGCCCCGCCAUCAGCCAACCUGCCAGCUGAAUGCAACCGUAAGAGUGAUCACCAGCAAGAUCACUAGAAAAACCACCUAACUGAGCCCACCCUGGAUUGAACAAUCAUAAACAAAUAAAAUUGUUAUUGUUUUAAAUCACAAA